CUGAGUUACAGCCGUUGCACACGAGUCAGUCGAUCCUAAGCCCUAGGAGAGAUCCGAUGUCGAUGUGGGGGGCUAUUCGUAGCUCCUCCUCGAUGGGCGAAAGGGAAUCCGGUUCCUAUUCCGGAACCCGGCAGCGGAACCGAAUCUACGGGCCCUCAUCAGAGAAGCUCGUCGGGGUAACCCAAAGGGACCCGGAGACGCCGUCGGGAGACCCGGGCAGAGUUUUCUGUUCUGCAUAAGCGUUCGAGUUCCCUGGAAUCCUGUAGCAGGGAGAUAGGGUUUGGAACGCGAAC
This 293-nucleotide ribosomal RNA is filed under the name Delphacinus mesomelas. RNAcentral describes it as "partial 28S ribosomal RNA". It matches the Rfam family "Eukaryotic large subunit ribosomal RNA", at positions 1509 to 1761 of the family's 3401-position model. The record is from RNAcentral. Lineage: Eukaryota; Metazoa; Arthropoda; Insecta; Hemiptera; Delphacidae.